CCUGGCUCAGGACGAACGCUGGCGGCGUGCCUAAUACAUGCAAGUAGAACGCACAGUUUAUACCGUAGCUUGCUACACCAUAGACUGUGAGUUGCGAACGGGUGAGUAACGCGUAGGUAACCUGCCUGGUAGCGGGGGAUAACUAUUGGAAACGAUAGCUAAUACCGCAUAAUAUUAAUUAUUGCAUGAUAAUUGAUUGAAAGGUGCAAUUGCACCACUACCAGAUGGACCUGCGUUGUAUUAGCUAGUAGGUGAGGUAACGGCUCACCUAGGCGACGAUACAUAGCCGACCUGAGACGGUGGUAGGCCAAACUGGGACUAAGACACAGACAAGACUCCUACGG
RNAcentral lists this ribosomal RNA (344 nucleotides) under uncultured bacterium. RNAcentral describes it as "bacterial SSU rRNA". It matches the Rfam family "Bacterial small subunit ribosomal RNA", at positions 18 to 344 of the family's 1533-position model. The record is from RNAcentral.